AUAUUUUUCUCGGCCUUUUGGCUAAGAUAAAAUGAAAUAUUUGUUUUUGUCAUUUUAAUAUAUGAUAUGUGAAUCAUAUGUUCGUUUUGAUAUUAAAUUUAUUUUUUAUGGAUAUUAAAUAUAAUUAUGUGUCGUUGUAACACACUGGCAUUAGACUAGUAACGUUAAUGAAAACCAUGUUAACGCUCA
Molecule: non-coding RNA, 189 nt
Organism: Zea mays
Lineage: Eukaryota; Viridiplantae; Streptophyta; Magnoliopsida; Poales; Poaceae
Source: Rfam